Molecule: long non-coding RNA, 233 nt
Organism: Mesocricetus auratus (golden hamster)
Lineage: Eukaryota; Metazoa; Chordata; Mammalia; Rodentia; Cricetidae
Exons: 2
Source: RefSeq, a predicted model, not a curated record
GUAAUGUGUAUUUGCCCUAAUGAAAAUCCGAGAGGCUUGCAACAUAGUAUAAAGGAAUCUCAGGGGUCUAUGAAAAGUGGAGUUACAGGUUGUGGACAUAGCCAGUUCACUCAAGCCUCUGCCACUGUGACUUCCCUGCUGUGAUGAACUGUUACUUGGAACUGUGAUCCCUCCUACAGUGGCUUUUGUCACUGUAUUUGACCACACCAAUUGGAAACAAAACUAAGACAUCA